GAUGAACGCUGGCGGCGUGCCUAAUACAUGCAAGUCGAACGAACAGGCCCGGCGCUUGCGGGGUGCACGAGUGCCGCACAGGUGUGUAAAACACGUGUAUACCCCACCUAUCAGACGGGUAACACCAGGAGACUCCGGCUAAUACCCCGUAGGAUCUAUUGAACCACGGGGGGCGUUGGAGAGAUUCGGCGGUUGUGGCUGGACUCGCGGCUUAUCCGCUGGAUGGUGGGGUAGGGGCUUACAAAGGCUUUGACGGGUAGGCGGCCUGAGAGGGUGACCGGCCACAUUGGGACUGCGAUACGGCCCAGACUCCUACGUUCGGCAGCAGUGGGGAAUAUUGCACAAUGGGCGGAAGCCUGAUGCAGCAACGUCGCGUGCGUGAUGCCGGCCUUCGGGUGGUAAACCGCUGUCGCCGGAGACGAAGCGGGAGUGACGGUACUGGGUAAGGAAGCCCCGGCUAACUACGUG
This 468-nucleotide ribosomal RNA is filed under the name uncultured bacterium. RNAcentral's name for it is "partial 16S ribosomal RNA". It matches the Rfam family "Bacterial small subunit ribosomal RNA", at positions 28 to 507 of the family's 1533-position model. The record is from RNAcentral.